AGAGUUUGAUCAUGGCUCAGAUUGAACGCUGGC
RNAcentral lists this ribosomal RNA (33 nucleotides) under Escherichia coli 2-156-04_S1_C3. Its description in RNAcentral is "partial 16S ribosomal RNA". Lineage: Bacteria; Pseudomonadati; Pseudomonadota; Gammaproteobacteria; Enterobacterales; Enterobacteriaceae. The record is from RNAcentral.